AAUUUAACAAGUCUCAUUUCUCAUUGUGGGGUUAGCUCUAGCCAUGUUAGCCAUGUUAGAAAUACCAGUUAAUAACAGCGCAUUACACUGCUUUUUGUGCAUACAAAAAUGUAUGUAACAUGUCCACA
This is a long non-coding RNA of Etheostoma cragini (Arkansas darter), 128 nucleotides long. RefSeq lists it as uncharacterized. The record is from RefSeq and is a predicted model, not a curated record. NCBI's taxonomy places the organism in Eukaryota, Metazoa, Chordata, Actinopteri, Perciformes, Percidae. The transcript has 3 exons.